CACGUAGGAGACAAGCGUUAUUCGGAUUUACUGGGCGUAAAGCGCGUGCAGGCGGUCUGACAAGUUGGAUGUGAAAGCUCCUGGCUUAACUGGGAGAGGUCGUUCAAAACUAUCAGACUAGAGAGUGGUAGAGGAAGGCGGAAUUCCGGGUGUAGUGGUGAAAUGCGUAGAUAUCCGGAGGAACACCAGUGGCGAAAGCGGCCUUCUGGACCAAUUCUGACGCUCAGACGCGAAAGCUAGGGUAGCGAAC
This 250-nucleotide ribosomal RNA is filed under the name uncultured bacterium. RNAcentral describes it as "partial 16S ribosomal RNA". It matches the Rfam family "Bacterial small subunit ribosomal RNA", at positions 524 to 773 of the family's 1533-position model. The record is from RNAcentral.